UGCAGUAAAAUGACAAAAAUAUUGUCAAUACAUAAUCACAUUGAACCAAAAGGGGCAAAUUUUUAUGUAUUAUCUGUCAUCUGAGAGGCAUGUAAUUACCAUACUUCCAAAGAUACAUUGAUUGGCGAAGAACUACUCUUCGAUACUAGUAGACCAUUACAAAUCUAGUCAAGAGUUCGUCAAGAGCACUUAGGGACACAAUAAAUAGUGUAAAAAAGACUUCUAAACUCCAAAGAAGAUAUACAAAACUAAAUUCAGAAACUAUAUUCACUUUUUUUCAGGUGCCCAUGUACUUUGAGAUAAGAAUCAUUUGA
Molecule: long non-coding RNA, 314 nt
Filed under: Ananas comosus (pineapple)
Lineage: Eukaryota; Viridiplantae; Streptophyta; Magnoliopsida; Poales; Bromeliaceae
Description: long non-coding RNA (ACOM_LNC042141)
Source: RNAcentral